RNAcentral lists this ribosomal RNA (111 nucleotides) under Saprospiraceae bacterium. The record is from RNAcentral. RNAcentral also lists the same sequence under 1 other name. Lineage: Bacteria; Pseudomonadati; Bacteroidota; Saprospiria; Saprospirales; Saprospiraceae.
GCUGGUGGCUAUAGCGUGGGGGUCCCACCUCUUCCCAUUCCGAACAGAGUAGUUAAGCCCCACUGCGCCGAUGAUACUGCCUUCGGGUGGGAAAGUAGGUCGCUGCCGGCU